Molecule: ribosomal RNA, 468 nt
Filed under: uncultured bacterium
Lineage: Bacteria
Description: partial 16S ribosomal RNA
Rfam family: Bacterial small subunit ribosomal RNA
Source: RNAcentral
GACGAACGCUGGCGGCGUGCUUAACACAUGCAAGUCGAACGGAAAGGCCCUGCUUUUGUGGGGUGCUCGAGUGGCGAACGGGUGAGUAACACGUGAGUAACCUGCCCUUGACUUUGGGAUAACUUCAGGAAACUGGGGCUAAUACCGGAUAGGAGCUCCUGCUGCAUGGUGGGGGUUGGAAAGUUUCGGCGGUUGGGGAUGGACUCGCGGCUUAUCAGCUUGUUGGUGGGGUAGUGGCUUACCAAGGCUUUGACGGGUAGCCGGCCUGAGAGGGUGACCGGCCCAAGUGGAGCAGAGAUACGGCCAGAACCCCGCGGGAGGCGACCGGGGGGGAAUGUGGAAGAAUGGGCGGAGCCCGAACCCCCCACCCCCCGGGGCGGGAGGCCGGCCUUCGGUUAGUAAACCCCUUCCCCCUGUAACGAAGCGGGGGUAGCGGAAAGGGAUAAAAAACCCCCGCCCAACUCCUUC